Molecule: ribosomal RNA, 423 nt
Filed under: uncultured bacterium
Lineage: Bacteria
Description: bacterial SSU rRNA
Rfam family: Bacterial small subunit ribosomal RNA
Source: RNAcentral
AAGASCUUGCGCUUUUGGAGCGGCCGAUGCCUGAUUAGCUUGUUGGUAAGGUAAAAGCUUACCAAGGCCUCGAUCAGUAGCUGGUCUGAGAGGACGACCAGCCACACUGGGACUGAGACACGGCCCAGACUCCUACGGGAGGCAGCAGUGGGGAAUUUUGGACAAUGGGGGCAACCCUGAUCCAGCCAUGCCGCGUGAGUGAAGAAGGCCUUCGGGUUGUAAAGCUCUUUCAGCCGGAACGAAACGGUUACGGUUAAUACCCGUGACUACUGACGGUACCGGAAGAAGAAGCACCGGCUAACUACGUGCCAGCAGCCGCGGUAAUACGUAGGGUGCGAGCGUUAAUCGGAAUUACUGGGCGUAAAGCGUGCGCAGGUGGUUUUGUAAGUCAGAUGUGAAAGCCCCGGGCUCAACCUGGGAACU